CUGGUAGAUGUUUAACCAGACCACCCUACACCAACCUAGUUCAGCUGGUAGAUACCACCCUAGACCAGCCUAGUUCAGCUGCUAGAUAUUUAACCAGACCACCCUAGACCAGCCUAGUUCAGCUAAGGAAGGGCUUAGCUUGUUUUUUUCCGAUAGUGUGAACCAGGUUAACAUGCACAGGAAUGGCAUGUAAAUGUGGUAGCUGGGGGAGGGGGGAGGCGUGGCUUUACGGUACAUGUUUGCUAUCAUUGGGGGGGAGGCGUGGCUUUACGGUACAUGUUUGCUGUCAUUGGUUAAUCAUCGUAAGUGUGAUUAUCCUUUUUGCUUCAUGCAUGUCUGUAAUAUAGUGUAGUUUAACCGUAGAGCAGGACUCUACUGAUGCUAUGCUUAGGCUGGACUGCACUGAGACACCCAUGGCAGUAUUGGAGAGGGGUUGAAUCAUAUCAGAUUAACACCCUAUAAUAAAACUGUAUUGGAGAGGGGUUGAAUCAUUUAGAUGAACACCCUAUAAUAAAACUGUAUUGGAGAGGGGUUGAAUCAUAUCAGAUGAACACCCUAUAAUAAAACUGUAUUGGAGAGGGGUUGAAUCAUAUCAGAUGAACACCCUAUAAUAAAACUGUAUUGGAGAGGGGUUGAAUCAUUUAGAUGAACACCCUAUAAUAAAACUGUAUUGGAGAGGGGUUGAAUCAUUUAGAUGAACACCCUAUAAUAAAACUGUAUUGAAGAGGGGUUGAAUCAUUUAGAUGAACACCCUAUAAUAAAACUGUAUUGGAGAGGGGUUGAAUCAUAUCAGAUGAACACCCUAUAAUAAAACUGUAUUGGAGAGGGGUUGAAUCAUAUCAGAUGAACACCCUAUAAUAAAACUGUAUUGGAGAGGGGUUGAAUCAUAUCAGAUGAACACCCUAUAAUAAAA
Molecule: long non-coding RNA, 913 nt
Organism: Oncorhynchus tshawytscha (Chinook salmon)
Lineage: Eukaryota; Metazoa; Chordata; Actinopteri; Salmoniformes; Salmonidae
Source: Ensembl